UACGUAGGGAGCAAGCGUUGUCCGGAAUCAUUGGGCGUAAAGCGCGCGUAGGUGGUCCCGUAAGUCCGCUGUGAAAGUCAAAGGCUCAACCUUUGAAAGCCGGUGGAUACUGUGGGACUAGAGUACGGAAGAGGCGAGUGGAAUUCCUGGUGUAGCGGUGGAAUGCGCAGAUAUCAGGAGGAACACCAAUAGCGAAGGCAGCUCGCUGGGACGUUACUGACACUGAGGCGCGAA
RNAcentral lists this ribosomal RNA (234 nucleotides) under uncultured bacterium. RNAcentral's name for it is "partial 16S ribosomal RNA". It matches the Rfam family "Bacterial small subunit ribosomal RNA", at positions 524 to 757 of the family's 1533-position model. The record is from RNAcentral.